GACGAACGCUGGCGGCGUGCUUAACACAUGCAAGUCGAACGGAAAGGCCCAGCUUGCUGGGUGCUCGAGUGGCGAACGGGUGAGUAACACGUGGGUGAUCUGCCCCUAACUUCGGGAUAAGCUUGGGAAACUGGGUCUAAUACCGGAUAGGACACUCGCUGAGUGUCGGUUGUGGAAAGUUUUUGCGGUUAGGGAUGAGCCCGCGGCCUAUCAGCUUGUUGGUGGGGUAAUGGCCUACCAAGGCGUCGACGGGUAGCCGGCCUGGGAGGGUGGACGGCCACAUUGGGACUGAGAUACGGCGCAGACUCCUACGGGAGGCAGCAGUGGGGAAUAUUGCACAAUGGGCGCAAGCCUGAUGCAGUGACGCCGCGUGGGGGAUGACGGCCUUCGGGUUGUAAACCUCUUUCGACAGGGACGAAGCUUUGGUGACGGUACCUGUAUAAGAAGCACCGGCUAACUACGUGCCAGCCGCCGCCGUAA
This 480-nucleotide ribosomal RNA is filed under the name uncultured bacterium. Its description in RNAcentral is "partial 16S ribosomal RNA". It matches the Rfam family "Bacterial small subunit ribosomal RNA", at positions 28 to 523 of the family's 1533-position model. The record is from RNAcentral.